CGAACGCUGGCGGCGUGCCUAAUACAUGCACGUAGAACGCUGAAGGAGGAGCUUGCUUCUCUGGAUGAGUUGCGAACGGGUGAGUAACGCGUAGGUAACCUGCCUGGUAGCGGGGGAUAACUAUUGGAAACGAUAGCUAAUACCGCAUAAUAGCAGUUAUUGCAUGAUAACUGUUUGAAAGGUGCAAUUGCACCACUACCAGAUGGACCUGCGUUGUAUUAGCUAGUUGGUGGGGUAACGGCUCACCAAGGCGACGAUACAUAGCCGACCUGAGAGGGUGAUGGGCCACCCGGGGACUGAGAACGGGCCCAGACUCCUAGGGGGGGCAGGAGGGGGGAAUCUUGGGAAAGGGAGGGAAGUUUGCCCGGGGAACGCCGGGGGGUGGAAAAAGGUUUUCGGAUCGAAAAGCCUUGUUGGAAGGGAAAAAGGGGUGGGAGGGGGGAAAGUUCACACUGGGAGGGUAUUUUACCAAAAAGGGACGGCUAACUACGU
RNAcentral lists this ribosomal RNA (492 nucleotides) under uncultured bacterium. Its description in RNAcentral is "partial 16S ribosomal RNA". It matches the Rfam family "Bacterial small subunit ribosomal RNA", at positions 30 to 506 of the family's 1533-position model. The record is from RNAcentral.